AGCCAGCCAUCGUAACAGCAAAGUUUUGCUUAUGCUGGACCUCCAGUCAUAUGAUUUGACUGAAGACUGAUGACCUCAUGUCAUCAGCAACAAUCACACAAUCAUCGCUUUAGAUAAACAGCACCCCGUUUGAGUGGAGAAAUUUCCUGUGUCGGUCGAGCUACGGAUCUCUUUUCCCCCUUUAUCCGUAAAUGUCCCCGUGUACGGGGGUGUAUUCACGAGGACGCCCUUUUUUCUAUUCCGCCUGGCGUCUUCAACUUAUCAGCGGAUGGAUGGAGUACCUGUGGAUGCCUGGCCGUAUUUCCCGGGCAUAAAGGUAGGACAAAUUCAUCUCUAUUCUUCCUUUUUGACCAUUUAGGGGGGGGGGGCGUUUAUUAUAAAUCGUUGCGGAUGAGUACGGAGUACGAUUAUUCCUGGGCCAUGCAGUUGGCUGAAACUGUUUCAUCUUGCUGUUUUUGUUUGUCUCAGUCAGGGUUCAUUAAAUAGCUCACGUGUAGAACCACUGCAGAUCAGGCCUGUUUUUUUUUUGUACCUCGCAACUUUGUCUGUGGGUAAAAUUCAAAAAUAUUUGAACUUGAAACACUUGAAGCAAAAUUUGAAAAUUCAUCGUUUACGAAUAAUGGUUUUUUUUCUUUUAAUUUCAUAAAACAGUUUUAUUUUCGGUCGUUUUUGCCGUGUUUUAUUUCAAUUUGAAAGCGCAAUCGAGCGUAAUUUGUAUUAUUAAAUUUGCGGUUUUUUUUAAAUUAUUUUUAUUUAUUUAGCGAAUUUCGUUAUUUAAAUUAAAGUAAAAAUAAUAAUAAAAAAAAAUACCUUGACUGUUAUAAACCUGGUCUGUAUUUUGGUAAAUCUGUUGCCAUCGUGGUGCCAUGUUAUAAGCAAGUGAUGAGGUGACGGGGUCAUUGGUAACAUCUCCCCUGGCUGUUUGAAUUGUAUCACGGCUUGCCGGACGUAACAAUGGGGGACAACGGUCAGCCUCAAUCUAAAUAUUGGCCGUAAUCAUGUGUACACAAGGGAUGCAAUCUGUUGUUAGAUACAUCAUCUUUCUAUCCAGAUUUCAAUACGGUUUUGGAUUGCCGGCCCAAAUAUUUGCCAAACAAACGCGACGGUUUGCGGCCGCGCUGACGGACAAUUCAAUAAAAGAAUCAAACACGUCCGCGCCCCGUCAUAAUAAUAAUGGAGGAGUGGGGGGGGGGGACGCCCUUCAUUCACACGAUGUGAAUUUGUCUUGUGUCCAAACGUCCACGUCAAACACGGGCGCUUACGUCAAUGGAAUGACGACGAGUGAAUGGCGAAUGCUGGGCGCCCAGCAGACAUAAUACGGUAAUUCGAUCCAACAGGAGUCGAUCUAGCGGGAACCUCAGGAGCCUAGCAGACGAGGAAUAAAUAAAGUAGCCAUUAUCAUCAUCACAGCAAACGCCAGACGGUCUAAAUGAUACAAAAGAUCUGACGACGGAUACAUAUUAUACAUACACGGGCGACAAAACGAACGAACACAAAGUGUGACAAAUAGAUACUAUAUAGUACUAUACCCUGCUCCAUUGACAUGUAUCCAUUUGGAUAUCAUUGUGCAAUGUCUAUGUCGACUAUAAUAAAACGGGACUACAAUCGAUGGGAAAAAGGAGCGGGAUGGUGCUGGCUUCUCCUUGCAAGACUGUUGGUAAAUCGCGCCGGGGUUUGGGGUGCACGAUGAAGACCAUUGUGCGCGUGUAAUGUGCCUUGUUGUCGUUUGAAUCAGUGACAGUUGGGUCGUUGUGGACGACACGACCGAACACGUUUCCAGUUCUUUCGAGCGUACAUACAUAAUAUGCGGAGUGGUGAAGGGAAAAAAAUUAAAUACAUCGGAACUUGUACAUAUGGACAAUGUCCGUCUCUCUAUCGUUCACCCCACCUCAGAGGGGGGUGGGUCCGGUCGGAAUAAGCUAAAAAAAAAAUGAUAAUGCAUCUCUACUUUACGUGGGAAAAAAAGUAGAGGGAAUAAAAUAAAAUAAAAAACACGAUAGGGAAAUGUAAUAACUGUCGUACGUACCUCUCCAUUAUAUCACGAAGAUGAGCUAAAGCGCGCUUAUUUAUAUUCUAUUUGAUUUUUUGGCUUUGAUUGUUUGUCGUCUCUUGCAUCACACAAUCGAGUUUUUUUAAAAAAUAAGCAUCUCUGAUUUCGGCACCCGUGUUCUCAGUGUGUGAAAAGAAUAGAUAUAUCAUUUCACUCUUGGCUUCUUCAAUUCUUUUGAUGUCUAGUGAAAGUUGUUUUUUCUACGUACAAAAAGGGGGCGGGGUGAUGAACAGCAGAAGAAGAAGAAGAAGAACCGGAAUUGAUAUAAUAGAAUGGCCAUCACGGACAUAUGCCAAGACGGAUAAUAAACGACGUCAACGACUUUGCCAUUCGUUUUUUUUUUCUCAAUUGAAAAGAAAAGGGGAAACUACUCGUGACUCUUGGUGGUUCCUCACAUGAUCUUGAUGUAUACAGCGUCGCCCAACGCCUUUGUGUUGUUGCUGUUGUUCCAUCAACAGUUGCACGGAUGGGGGUUCAUAUAUAGUCUUCUCGAGAAGAAAUAAAUCAAAAACCGGUUGUGAUGUGCACACCCUUUCAGUUGAAUUUCAAAUUCAAGACGCCGAGCUGUUUGUUUUCGCUCCCGGUGUUUAGAUAUCUGCUGAAGAGCGACUCUAUAGAUAUAACUGUCACUGGAGUUUUGUUACAUAGUGAUGCAUGUGUAUGUAUAAUAUAUAGUAUAGUAACCGGAGAAGAGGAACACACACACAACCGGUAUAGACAACUAAACGCGUGCCUAUAAGAAAUUUCGCCUUUGGGAAGAGUCGCAACAACAACAAAUCGUCAACGUCAACACAAAUAUGAAUGGCGAUUUCCUAUUCAAAAUGAGAACUAAUUGCUGCAACUUUUGUUACAAGUUAUGCGGGACAUUUAUUUGAACGAAACUUUUUUUUGUCUGUCGGUACACUUUUGUUAAAUAGGAGAGAAAAAAACAAGCGACGAUUUAUCUUUUUCUCCUUUAUGGUGAUUGUAUUAAGUGGGAGCCGCGGGGACUUGUCAAAGCGUCGCAUACCCCGCCGCGUUUCAAAUAUUGCGGGCUCCAUUAUGCGGCGCCAUAUUUGAAACCGUGUAGCUUUAUAUUCAAAUUAGGAAAAGCUAUUUGAAUCUGUCAAAUAUGCAGAGCGAGUUAUAAUGAGAGCCCCAGCGGGAUGCAAUCAAAUGUCGCACAUUUCCCCAUACAUAUUGCGUCACGGCCGUGCCGCAUUCAUCGACGUAUUGACACGUGAGAAACAACAUUUCUCUGUGACGACUCGGGAACUUUUUAGAUCCGAUUAUUAUUGAGUGCUGCAUAGCAGUGGAGGGCGUGUCUCGCUCUGUUUUUUUUUUUUUUUAUUUCCAUCGACUCGCAGUUGUACUUCUCCUGUGACUCUAUCGCCGCUAAACAUUUUUCCGUCUCCCUUUUCAGACCUUGGCUGUUGUUGUUGUUAAAAGGCUUUUCAUUAUGUGAAAUACAAAAAUCCGCUAGGAGCUUUUGAGGCACGAUAUAUAGACUCGUAUGGUUUGUGAAUCCAUUAUUCCGUAGAUUGGGCCUAUAUGUGUGUGUUUAGAAGGCCGGCCCUGCUGCCAUGCUUUUAGCGUUUUGUGUGCGUGUGUCGUCUUCCGACGAGAAAAAUGUCUAACCAUCUGAUCUUUUGUUGAGCAGUUCCUCAGGGUUCGGAGAGAGAGAGGCUGCGAGCGCGUCUAUAGGAUCGGUGGUGUUGAAGCCGAAGAGAGAACAACAAUAGGGACAAAACAAAUAAAAACAGGAAUCAUUGAGGCAGCAGAGUCUAUACGACAUCAUCUUGUCAAGGAGAGUUAGCCGACCGUGAAAUUGUUACAGUGACAGUGCUGGUUGGAGAUUGUUGGCUCGAGGUGCGGCGGAAUUACAGGGAGAGGGGGGUAGAAAGGGCGGGGAUGAAGGCCUAUACUAUGUCAACAAUUGUCCUCGUUUUCAUGUCGGACACAAUUCUGGCGUGUAUAUCUACCUAUUAUUACGUCAUUGGUAUUUUGUUGCCGUCCCGCGUACAAUGUCCGUCCGAUUUGAAUGGCGGCGCAAUAUGCCAAGUCCUAUCUGCCACUUUGGCUCAGUCAAAUGAAAUUGAUCGGCCAAUCUCAAACGAAAACGGCCAUUCUUGUACACGAGUAAUCCUAUUUACUUUGGCAUUUAUAAUCCCAAGACGUUAAAUCUUUAAGUUGUGUAUCGAAUUUAGCGAUGACGCCUUUAAAACUAUUGCGUCAUUUUUAUUGUUAAAUGCCAAAUGUUUAUUCAUUGCGACCUCCUCAGCCUACUGCUGGAUGCCCACCUGGACAUUUAUUAAUUUUAUUCGAAGCUAUACCGUCCGGCUAGAUAUUCAAAAUUUUAUGUGAAAUGAUGAUCGGGAUAUAUGCGUCACUGCUGCUGAUUUACAUGCGUGUCUCUGCGCCCCCGGGUGAAAGGAUUCCUAUAGUAAAUACCCAGCACGGCCUGGUUCGGGUUCGUUCGUGAUGGUGUGUUUUGACUUGGAUAUAUCUAUUAUUAUACGCGGUGAAACUAUUCCGAGAGACGAUUGCAUGACCGUCAGUCCGCGCGUUCUAUAAUAAUGUCUGCUGUUGAGUUGCACGUAGCUACUAGACAUAGCCAUAGCCCCGCACUGACCAGCAGCAGCAGUCUCUCGGUACAAUGUUUGUGUGUGCCCAUCGAAAAAAGUCACGAUUUUUCAUUCCUUUUUUUGAAAUCUGGAAAGUAGCGAGAGAGAAAGAGAGAGAAGACGCACACAACUGACAAGUUGAAUAAUUUCGUUGGUGGCUCAACUUAUUAGUUUUUGUCGUGUCGACUUAUCAAAGAAGCGCGUAUCUACUGUACGUAUGUAUGUACCAGACGUAACUAGUUUUUCCCGUGAUAGUGUGGACUAUACCUCGGAGUAUAUAUAAAUGAUGGCGCAUACACUAUAGACUUCACCUCCGUUUGUGUUGGAAAAAAUUCAUUGUCUUUCACCGUUUCGCUAGCGUACAGAGAGAUAUACGGGAAGGUCACGGGCUGCCGCUUGGAAAUCUAGGUGUAUUAUAUACGUGUACGGUAUAAUAUAAUACGCCUGUUGCUUGUAGUAUUUUUCGUUGUAUAGACACCGGGAUCUACUAUAUGGUGCCGUGCCUUCUUUUUGUUGUUGUUGUUGUCAUAAGGAGUUGAUUGACUUGGCUUUAUUCCCAGGCUUUUAUCAAAUCCUCAAAAAGAAUUUGGGACUCUUAGAUUAUAGUCUACCUAUAACAACACAAAUUGUUUGAAAUCAACUCCUUUAUUUUAUUUUUUUUAAAGUUCGCCAGUAAUAACAACAGGAUGUGUAAUAAUGAGAUAAAUGGUUUCUCGUAUGAUGUAAGAGGGCAAAAAAAAGUGUAGUCAAUAAUAUUCUUCUUGUCUUGUUUGUCCCAAACAGCCCGACCCACUCACUUCAAUAUUAUAAGGUAACCCCAUGGACAGCAGUGUGGUGUUAUGCGGGGAUGUUAUAUAACCGUAUCUACGCGGACACGUGGGAAAUAACUCGCUUUGCCCGGGGGAGAGUUUUUACUCCAUUGAAAGUGUCACAUAGAAAAGGGGCGUUGUACUGUAGGUUUGAUUUCCAUUAGCUCUCUCUCUCUCUCUCUCAUAUAGGGGAGAACAUUUUUUUUUUCUUCUUUCCAUUUCGUUUUUCAAUUCUACUUUAUUUUUUGAAAAAAUAAAAAUAACCCAAAAGAAUGCUUUCAUUAAAGAUAUCUCUACUCUCUCUCGCUGUGUGUGUGUGUGUGGGAGACCAACCCCUCUCGUUUUCUAGUCCGUUAUCUCUAUCCCCAGGUCGUCCGUUUGUGUUUGUGUGCUCUUCUUCGUUCACGUCGUCCCUCAACAAGGGCGAGAGAGAGAGACGUUCUUUUGUUGCAUCAUCCGCCGAAAGUUCUUUCCAUUCGUGGAUUUCGCCAGCAGCGGAUGAGGGACGUGAUGCCGCGCAUUACAUUAGAAAGAGCUCGGCACAAAAGGUCACAAGGCAAAAAGCCCAGCAUCUUCUUCUUGUUGUGUCCACCCAUACUCGAAAGUCAGUCGAGUGAAGUAAAUUUUUAUUGCAAUCAUAACAUAAUGAAAGCAAGCAGCUUGGGCAUUUUAUAUAUAAAGGAUGAUGCCCAAAAGAAGAAGGGCAAUGUCAACAUUGUCAGUGGAUCGGGGGGGUCAAACAAUUGGGGCGUUGGCAUAUCCAAACGUAAGUUUUCCGUCCGACGAGAGAGAUAGAGGCGAAUAUCUGGUACAAGACAUUUUUGUCUGUUGGCGAACUCGCAUAUCAAAUCAAUUGGCCAUCUUGACGAGAAACAACUGGCAUAGCAUCGGCAUUCUUUUGUGCGCUAGUUUUUCCCCCAACGACCGCCGUCGACAGAGAUAUCCGCUGGCUAUUUUUUCUCUUAUUCAAAAAUUGGCUCAUCUGCCAAGUCCCUGUCGGGAAAUUCGGAGGGCUCAAAAGCUCUUUUGUGUCUAUCAAAUUAUAGAAUUACAUAAGAAUGACCUCUCUCUCUCUUCUGUAUUUCUGUCGACGGGAAAUACAUAACGUGGGAUAGCCUUGGGGAUAGCCGUUGAGCUGAUUUUGUUUGCAGCUCCGAGACUUUGUCCUCAAAAUGUAGUGCAUUAAUCUAUUCACAAUCAAAUCAGGGGAGAAUCUUGUCCUGGCGUUUUUUUUUGGGUAGAAACCUCCCCAAAAAAACGUGUAUCAAUGUUGAGCUAAUUUCUAUUCAAUUGGACGAACAGGGGGUGGUCCCGUGUUUUUUGUUGGGUAUAUGUAGAUUUGUAUCAGAAAACCGGAAAUCUCCUCGAGUGUCAAAGACAUGAUAGAAACUGGACCAUCUUCAAUUUCAAACAGCAAUUGCGCCAGAUGUUGGACUUUCAUUAAAGG
Daphnia pulex (common water flea) is the source of this 6909-nucleotide long non-coding RNA. RefSeq lists it as uncharacterized. The record is from RefSeq and is a predicted model, not a curated record. The transcript is spliced from 2 exons. NCBI's taxonomy places the organism in Eukaryota, Metazoa, Arthropoda, Branchiopoda, Diplostraca, Daphniidae.